CCUACGGGGGGCAGCAGUAGGGAAUAUUGCUCAAUGGGGGAAACCCUGAAGCAGCAACGCCGCGUGGAGGAUGAAGGUUUUCGGAUUGUAAACUCCUUUUGUUAUAGAAGAUAAUGACGGUAUCUAACGAAUAAGCACCGGCUAACUCCGUUCCAGCAGCCGCGGUAAUACGGAGGGUGCAAGCGUUACUCGGAAUCACUGGGCGGAAAGAGCGCGUAGGCGGGAUAGCAAGUCAGAUGUGAAAUCCUAUGGCUUAACCAUAGAACUGCAUUUGAAACUGUUAUUCUAGAGUAUGGGAGAGGUAGGUGGAAUUCUUGGUGUAGGGGUAAAAUCCGUAGAGAUCAAGAGGAAUACUCAUUGCGAAGGCGACCUGCUAGAACAUAACUGACGCUGAUGCGCGAAAGCGUGGGGAGCAAACAGGAUUAGAUACCCGAGUAGUC
Molecule: ribosomal RNA, 440 nt
Filed under: uncultured bacterium
Lineage: Bacteria
Description: partial 16S ribosomal RNA
Rfam family: Bacterial small subunit ribosomal RNA
Source: RNAcentral